UCCGAGUUGACCCCGGCAGUCUUCCACGAGUCCCCGGCAUUAUCCGCUGGCAACAUAGAAUAAGGGUUGCGCUCGUUGCGGGGCUUAACCCAACAUCUCACGACACGAGCUGACGACAGCCAUGCAGCACCUGUGUUCUAGCCAGCCGAACUGAGGAAUCCCAUCUCUGGAACCCAUACUAGACAUGUCAAGGGUAGGUAAGGUUCUGCGCGUUGCUUCGAAUUAAACCACAUGCUCCGCCGCUUGUGCGGGCCCCCGUCAAUUCCUUUGAGUUUCAAUCUUGCGAUCGUACUUCCCAGGUGGGAUACUUAAUGCUUUCGCUCAGACACACACAGUGUAUCGCGUAUGUCGAGUAUCCAUCGUUUAGGGCGUGGACUAC
Molecule: unclassified non-coding RNA, 379 nt
Filed under: uncultured bacterium
Lineage: Bacteria
Description: contains 16S-23S intergenic spacer region
Source: RNAcentral